AUUGAACGCUGGCGGCAGGCCUAACACAUGCAAGUCGAGCGGAGCGGCGGACGGGUGAGUAAUGCCUAGGAAUCUGCCUGGUCGCGGGGGAUAACGUCCGGAAACGGGCGCUAAUACCGCAUACUAUCAGAUGAGACUAGGUCGGAUUAGCUAGUUGGUGGGGUAAAGGCCUACCAAGGCGACGAUCCGUAACUGGUCUGAGAGGAUGAUCAGUCACACUGGAGCGGGGACACGGUCCAGGGUCCUACGGGAGGCAGCAGUGGGGAAUAUUGGGCAAUGGGCGAAAACCUGAUCCAACCAGGCCGCGUGUGUGAAGAAGGUCUUCGGGUUGUAAAGCACUUUAAGUUGGGAGGCGUUACCAACAGAAGAAGCACCGGCUAACUUCGUGCCAGCAGCCGCGGUAAUAC
This 407-nucleotide ribosomal RNA is filed under the name uncultured bacterium. Its description in RNAcentral is "partial 16S ribosomal RNA". It matches the Rfam family "Bacterial small subunit ribosomal RNA", at positions 30 to 526 of the family's 1533-position model. The record is from RNAcentral.